This 1501-nucleotide ribosomal RNA is filed under the name metagenome. RNAcentral describes it as "bacterial SSU rRNA". It matches the Rfam family "Bacterial small subunit ribosomal RNA". The record is from RNAcentral.
AGAGUUUGAUCAUGGCUCAGAUUGAACGCUGGCGGCAGGCCUAACACAUGCAAGUCGAACGGUAACAGGAAGAAGCUUGCUUCUUUGCUGACGAGUGGCGGACGGGUGAGUAAUGUCUGGGAAACUGCCUGAUGGAGGGGGAUAACUACUGGAAACGGUAGCUAAUACCGCAUAACGUCGCAAGACCAAAGAGGGGGACCUUCGGGCCUCUUGCCAUCGGAUGUGCCCAGAUGGGAUUAGCUAGUAGGUGGGGUAACGGCUCACCUAGGCGACGAUCCCUAGCUGGUCUGAGAGGAUGACCAGCCACACUGGAACUGAGACACGGUCCAGACUCCUACGGGAGGCAGCAGUGGGGAAUAUUGCACAAUGGGCGCAAGCCUGAUGCAGCCAUGCCGCGUGUAUGAAGAAGGCCUUCGGGUUGUAAAGUACUUUCAGCGGGGAGGAAGGGAGUAAAGUUAAUACCUUUGCUCAUUGACGUUACCCGCAGAAGAAGCACCGGCUAACUCCGUGCCAGCAGCCGCGGUAAUACGGAGGGUGCAAGCGUUAAUCGGAAUUACUGGGCGUAAAGCGCACGCAGGCGGUUUGUUAAGUCAGAUGUGAAAUCCCCGGGCUCAACCUGGGAACUGCAUCUGAUACUGGCAAGCUUGAGUCUCGUAGAGGGGGGUAGAAUUCCAGGUGUAGCGGUGAAAUGCGUAGAGAUCUGGAGGAAUACCGGUGGCGAAGGCGGCCCCCUGGACGAAGACUGACGCUCAGGUGCGAAAGCGUGGGGAGCAAACAGGAUUAGAUACCCUGGUAGUCCACGCCGUAAACGAUGUCGACUUGGAGGUUGUGCCCUUGAGGCGUGGCUUCCGGAGCUAACGCGUUAAGUCGACCGCCUGGGGAGUACGGCCGCAAGGUUAAAACUCAAAUGAAUUGACGGGGGCCCGCACAAGCGGUGGAGCAUGUGGUUUAAUUCGAUGCAACGCGAAGAACCUUACCUGGUCUUGACAUCCACGGAAGUUUUCAGAGAUGAGAAUGUGCCUUCGGGAACCGUGAGACAGGUGCUGCAUGGCUGUCGUCAGCUCGUGUUGUGAAAUGUUGGGUUAAGUCCCGCAACGAGCGCAACCCUUAUCCUUUGUUGCCAGCGGUCCGGCCGGGAACUCAAAGGAGACUGCCAGUGAUAAACUGGAGGAAGGUGGGGAUGACGUUAAGUCAUCAUGGCCCUUACGACCAGGGCUACACACGUGCUACAAUGGCGCAUACAAAGAGAAGCGACCUCGCGAGAGCAAGCGGACCUCAUAAAGUGCCUCGUAGUCCGGAUUGGAGUCUGCAACUCGACUCCAUGAAGUCGGAAUCGCUAGUAAAUCGUGGAUCAGAAUGCCACGGUGAAUACGUUCCCGGGCCUUGUACACACCGCCCGUCACACCAUGGGAGUGGGUUGCAAAAGAAGUAGGUAGCUUAACCUUCGGGAGGGCGCUUACCACUUUGUGAUUCAUGACUGGGGUGAAGUCGGAACAAGGUA